This 425-nucleotide ribosomal RNA is filed under the name uncultured bacterium. Its description in RNAcentral is "partial 16S ribosomal RNA". It matches the Rfam family "Bacterial small subunit ribosomal RNA", at positions 354 to 796 of the family's 1533-position model. The record is from RNAcentral.
GUGGGGAAUCUUGCGCAAUGGGCGAAAGCCUGACGCAGCCAUGCCGCGUAAAUGAUGAAGGUCUUAGGAUUGUAAAAUUCUUUCACCGGGGACGAUAAUGACGGUACCCGGAGAAGAAGCUCCGGCUAACUUCGUGCCAGCAGCCGCGGUAAUACGAAGGGGGCUAGCGUUGCUCGGAAUUACUGGGCGUAAAGGGCGCGUAGGCGGACAGCUUAGUCAGAGGUGAAAGCCCAGGGCUCAACCUUGGAAUUGCCUUUGAUACUGGCUGUCUUGAGUUUGGGAGAGGUGAGUGGAACUCCGAGUGUAGAGGUGAAAUUCGUAGAUAUUCGGAAGAACACCAGUGGCGAAGGCGACUCACUGGCCCAAUACUGACGCUGAGGCGCGAAAGCGUGGGGAGCAAACAGGAUUAGAUACCCGAGUAGUCC